AUGAGGAAACUGAGGCAGCCGGAGCCCAGGCCCACUGCUCCAAAGCCUUCAGCACCACCUAGGCCUGGAGAGCUCGGGGAUCCCGGGCUUCCUACACUAGCCAGAGGUGCUGAGCGAGCGGGGAGCCAAUGGCAGCGCCAGCAAAUCCAGCUCUUCUCCCCAUCCCCGCCCUCUACCUCCAGGCCAUCCAGACUUCUUGUACGAACCCCUCCCCCGCCCCCAUUGAGCCCUCCAGGGAGCCCCGCUUCGAGCUGGCUGGCUCAGAAGGAGGCCCAGUGCCCAAGGGGCGCCCAGAUGUGCCCCCUCCCAGGGCCUGAGGGGGGUUUUCUUCUGCCCUUACAAAGAGGGCAGGUGCAGAGCCGGCCCUGGGGGCUCUGGAGAGAGCUGGAGCCGCUUCCUGCCCCAGCGGGGCUGGCACGCUGUGGGUGUUCCCUGAGCUCCUGGUGGGGCAGGGAGCUGGGGAUUGGCUACCCAGCAGCCCAGGGGAGGAGGAGCAGGCAGGGCGGGCAGAGAGGGCCGGCCACCGGCGGGGCACCUGGAGGGGCCAGACGGCCAGCCCAGGCCAGCCCAGAGCAGACUGCAGCCAGCGCUGGCCCCAGGCAGCCAGGUGAGCAGCUCCCAGCCCAGAGCCAGCGCCAUGGACCAGGACAGCAAGCUCCCCGCCAUCGACAAGCUGCAGGGGCUGCACAUCUGGGUCAUCGAGACAAUGAAGAUGGUCCCCGUCCCCGAGAAGGCCUACGGCAGCUUCUUUGAGGGCGACUGCUACGUGGUCCUGCAUGUGAGUGGUCCUCCAAGGAGCCUGGCCACUGGGUCACAGGGGAGGACGGGGUGAGAGGGGAGGGGCAGGGCCAGAAUCCAGGCUGGGGGGGAACUUCACCCCCCUCCCCUGACUCCAGGCCAGGCAGGCAGGCAGCUCUGCCAACGUGUCUCAGCCCCCCCCCCCCGCCACCAAAACCUGCUGUCACUCCUAUCUGGGGCACCCAGAAGGGUGGGUGCAAAUCCUGCCCCUGCCUGUCAGGGUGACCUUAGACCCAUCUUUUGGCCCUUCUGCUCCGCUUCUGGGCCCUUCACUCCCCUCAGCCAGCCCAGCUCAAUGAUCUGUUCAUUCCCUCAGCAGCUCCCUGAAGCUGCCCCCCGAGCCAGUCACAGCCUCCUGCCUGGGGGAGGCCCCCCUCCUCCGUGGGGCAGCAUCAGAUUCAGGCUCCUUGUCCUGGCCUCCAAGGCCCCCCCCCCCAGCUCCCACAGGGGUUCUUGUCUCCUCCAGAAAGUCCCUGAAAAGCCUGUCCUGAUCAGCAAGGCGAGGCUCCAAUGCCACCUCCCCCAUGAAGCCCACCCUGAUUGUCCUGGGUGACAAUUCAGUCCCAUCCAAGGGGCAUUUAUUCAGUUGUGCCUAUGUGCCUGGCACAAGGAUGGGCGCUGGGCACAUCAAGGCAGUGGUGAAACAGGUGUAGCCUUCGAGGAGCUGGAAUCCUUCUGGGGAGCCGGGGGCCCCGCAGGAUUGAACCCAUGCCAAGAUGGGCGAACCCCAGAGCGUUUCCGGAGAGGCACAGAGUGCCUCUGAAGUCCCUUUCAGCUCUAAAUCUCAGACAUCAGAGAAGGCUUCCUGUCAGCCGGCCCAAGGCUCUAAGGGGGGAUGGGAUGACUGGGAGCAGGCAGAUGCCGACAGGCCAGAAGAACUGGCAUGCCUGGCGUGGAGAUGGCCCGAGGAAGAGGCGGGCUCGGACCCAGCCCCCCUCUGCCCCCUUAUGGGCUA
Long non-coding RNA from Monodelphis domestica (gray short-tailed opossum), 1753 nucleotides. Lineage: Eukaryota; Metazoa; Chordata; Mammalia; Didelphimorphia; Didelphidae. The record is from Ensembl.